UGAGUACAUUUCAAAAUAAUAUUAUAAGAGUUUUUGUACAACUGCUCGAACGUAUUUACAUAUAAAUAGUUACAUAAUUACAUUAAAAUCUAAUGUCUAGAGGCAUACCUAUAAUAUUCCCAAAAUUAAUCUCAACACGUCUUCAAGACACAGCUUCAAGUGAUCUCACUCAGCUGCUCUAUCCUUUCUUUUACCUUCAAAUCCAUUCUUAUUCUCACUAACUUAAUGCAAGACUGAUCUGCAAGGGCCAUCUUCAAAGUCAUUCUCACUUCUCACCAGAGGGAGAUCAAAUCGUGUACAUUCCAUCCAUAACACCAUAACAAAUUAAAUUCCGAAAGGGCCAUCUUCAGCUUUGUUCUAACCUCUUAUAUGAGGAAGAUCACAUUAUCAAUGUGCACGUACCAUGGUAUUCAAAACAAAGCUAACACCAGUGUCUUCUCAACAAAUGAGAGACGGGUAAUAACCAUGUCGAGCAUUAGUAGUGAGAUAUAAAAUAACAUCAGAAAAUUCAUUACCCUUUUUGUGAGUAUAUAAUCACAAUACAGUCAUUUCCAUGUCAAUCUCAGUAAGCAAUAUUUUUCAUUUGCCAUGCAAAUCCCAUUUCAAUCAUAAUUUUCUAAAACCAAUUUCAUUCACACCAUAACAAUAUUCAAUAAUUGUUGAGAUAAAAUCAACAUUUGAUAAACAUAAUACAUGAAAACAAUAGAAUCAUUUAAUCAAUUGAAAUAUGUAAAACACUUAUUAAUUAAGGACUAGUUGUGCACAAACCUCUUUAGUUGUCUUAACCUAAUCCAAUUUUUUCUCUUUUCUUGAGUGGAUCCUUUCCAACUGAAACACAAAAUUUUAAAGUGUUUCAAUACCCCUCCAAACUAUUUCUAAUAAUUAAUUCUAAUAAUUUCAUUUUUGCAUAUUAAAUUUACCUAUUAGGUAUCAUAAGUUGAAUUCUUGUAUUUAUGGUUAUGGGGUUACUAUUCAAUUGAUUAGUUAUGUAAAAUAUUAACUUUUUCAUAAUUAAUAGGUAUUCCAUUUCUAAAUAUACUAAAAUACCACAUUUUGGGUUUUACAUUUGUUGGCAUUGGUUGUCAAAUUCAAUUCAAAGCUUCCUAAGAGAAAUUCCAAAUUUUCAGUUUUUGUCUCUAAAGUUUAUUGUUCCAUUGGACCAUUCUACAAUAGAAAUUUGGCUAAACUUUCUUAAUCAAAAUUAUUUCUUAAUGUGUUUACUUUAAUUCUCCUUUUGAAUCACUCUAUAU
This 1250-nucleotide unclassified non-coding RNA is filed under the name Hevea brasiliensis (rubber tree). Lineage: Eukaryota; Viridiplantae; Streptophyta; Magnoliopsida; Malpighiales; Euphorbiaceae. The record is from RNAcentral.